GAUACCAACAAUGCCAGUCUCAGGAAAGGGCUGGAGCGGAAAGAGAGCCAAAUCCUAUCACACCUUGUGUUCCAGACACUGUUUCAAAUGGGCCUGUGAAGUCAUAUCAGAAUUCCCAACAGAGACAACUUAAAGGAGAAAGAAUGCAUGGUGGCUCAUGGUUCCCAGGGAUAGCUAGCUGACCAUCAAAAAGGGGAAGGCGUGGCCGAGUCUGUGACCUGAGAGCGUGAAGCAGAGGCUGCUCCUAUGUAAGCAGAGAGCUCAGUCAGGAGCCAGAAUCUCUGCCCCAGUAACCCACUCCUGCUGGUGAGGCCACAGCCUCCAAACCAGCGCCACCAGCAGGGGCUAGGUGUUCAUACACAUGCAGCUGUGGUGAGAGUGAGGAUUAGAGAGGGGGACACCUGGCUGGCUAGCCAGAGAGAGACACAGAGACAGAACAAAGACCUACAGCUCCUGAACCUGCCUCCUUCCUACCCAGGGUCAAUUAGGCCUAGAAUUUCCUGUAGGCCUUGUCCUCAGCUGGAGGCAAUAAAUCAUGCUAUGGGUUUCUGUUGCAUAGUGGUUGUCAGUCUGACAUCUCCCACACAUUGUGCUCAUACCCACACGGGUACAAGGCCGUAUGUCUAUCUGCAUGGGAAUCCUGGGGGCACUUAGCUCUCAAGUGCAAGUGUACUUUUCGAUUAAAGUCCCUUUUCUCUGUCUCAAGGC
RNAcentral lists this long non-coding RNA (708 nucleotides) under Mus caroli (Ryukyu mouse). RNAcentral's name for it is "lncRNA (MGP_CAROLIEiJ_G0013635.1)". The record is from RNAcentral. Lineage: Eukaryota; Metazoa; Chordata; Mammalia; Rodentia; Muridae.